AGCGGCGAGUGAAGCGGCAAAAGCUCAAAUUUGAAAUCUGGCGUCUUUGGCGUCCGAGUUGUAAUUUGAAGAAGGUAUCUUUGGGCCCGGCUCUUGUCUAUGUUCCUUGGAACAGGACGUCACAGAGGGUGAGAAUCCCGUGCGAUGAGAUGACCCGGGUCUGUGUAAAGUUCCUUCGACGAGUCGAGUUGUUUGGGAAUGCAGCUCUAAGUGGGUGGUAAAUUCCAUCUAAAGCUAAAUAUUGGCGAGAGACCGAUAGCGAACAAGUACAGUGAUGGAAAGAUGAAAAGAACUUUGAAAAGAGAGUGAAAAAGUACGUGAAAUUGUUGAAAGGGAAGGGCUUGAGAUCAGACUUGGUAUUUUGCAUGCUGCUCUCUCGGGGGCGGCCGCUGCGGUUUACCGGGCCAGCAUCGGUUUGGAGCGGCAGGAUAAUGGCGGAGGAAUGUGGCACGGCUUCUGCUGUGUGUUAUAGCCUCUGACGAUACUGCCAGCCUAGACCGAGGACUGCGGUUUUUACCUAGGAUGUUGGCAUAAUGAUCUUAAGUCGCCCGUCUUGAA
Molecule: ribosomal RNA, 558 nt
Filed under: Candida albicans
Lineage: Eukaryota; Fungi; Ascomycota; Pichiomycetes; Serinales; Debaryomycetaceae
Description: LSU rRNA
Rfam family: Eukaryotic large subunit ribosomal RNA
Source: RNAcentral